RNAcentral lists this unclassified non-coding RNA (214 nucleotides) under Hevea brasiliensis (rubber tree). The record is from RNAcentral. Lineage: Eukaryota; Viridiplantae; Streptophyta; Magnoliopsida; Malpighiales; Euphorbiaceae.
AAUGGCAUUAACAAUCAUACUCCGUAAGCCUUUCUAAUCUAUUCUAUUGCUUCUCCAUAUUCUGACUCAAAAAUAUUCUUCUGAUUAAACCUCCUCAUACCUAGGCCUUUAUUCAGGUAGAUUUCUGUUUGGAAAACAAGCUAUCCACCUUUACUUUCAAUAAAAUUCUAUGUUUGAUUAAUUGUGUCAAGAUUGUGUUAGAAUUAAGAAAUAU